GGGGCUAUAGCGCAGUCUGGUAGCGCACCUCGUUCGCAUCGAGGGGGUCUAGGGUUCAAAUCCCUAUAGCUCCA
Molecule: transfer RNA, 74 nt
Filed under: Kineosporia succinea
Lineage: Bacteria; Bacillati; Actinomycetota; Actinomycetes; Kineosporiales; Kineosporiaceae
Also listed under: 4 other names
Description: tRNA-Ala
Rfam family: tRNA
About the family: Transfer RNA (tRNA) molecules are approximately 80 nucleotides in length.
Source: RNAcentral